UUUGUUAGGAAGAAAGGGUUUCGGCUUGACCGUACCUGCAGAAAAAGGACCGGCUAACUACGUGCCCGCAGCCGCGGUAAUACGUAGGGUUCCAGCGUUGUCCGGAAUUAUUGGGCGUAAAGAGCUCGUAGGCGGUUUGUCGCGUCUGCUGUGAAAUCUGGAGGCUCAACCUCCAGCCUGCAGUGGGUACGGGCAGACUAGAGUGCGGUAGGGGAGAAUGGAAAUCCUGGUGUAGCGGUGGAAUGCGCAGAUAUCAGGAGGAACACCGAUGGCGAAGGCAGUUCUCUGGGCCGUAACUGACGCUGAGGAGCGAAAGCGUGGGGAGCGAACAGGAUUAGAUACCCUGGUAGUCCACGCCGUAAACGUUGGGCGCUAGAUGUGGGGACCUUUCCACGGUUUCCGUGUCGUAGCUAACGCAUUAAGCGCCCCGCCUGGGGAGUACGGCCGCAAGGCUAAAACUCAAAGGAAUUGACGGGGGCCCGCACAAGCGGCGGAGCAUGCGGAUUAAUUCGAUGCAACGCGAAGAACCUUACCAAGGCUUGACAUAACCGAGAACGCCGCAGAAAUGUGGAACUCUUUGGACACUCGGUUACAGGUGGUGCAUGGUUGUCGUCAGCUCGUGUCGUGAGAUGUUGGGUUAAGUCCCGCAACGAGCGCAACCCUCGUCGCAUGUUGCCAGCACGUAAUGGUGGGAACUCAUGUGAGACUGCCGGGGUCAACUCGGAGGAAGGUGGGGAUGACGUCAAAUCAUCAUGCCCCUUAUGUCUUGGGCUUCACGCAUGCUACAAUGGCCGGUACAAAGGGCUGCGAUGUCGUAAGGCGGAGCGAAUCCCAAAAAGCCGGUCUCAGUUCGGAUUGAGGUCUGCAACUCGACCUCAUGAAGUCGGAGUCGCUAGUAAUCGCAGAUCAGCAACGCUGCGGUGAAUACGUUCCCGGGCCUUGUACACACCGCCCGUCAAGUCAUGAAAGUCGGUAACACCCGAAGCCGGUGGCCUAACCCUUGUGGAGGAGCC
Molecule: ribosomal RNA, 1013 nt
Filed under: Agromyces sp.
Lineage: Bacteria; Bacillati; Actinomycetota; Actinomycetes; Micrococcales; Microbacteriaceae
Description: bacterial SSU rRNA
Rfam family: Bacterial small subunit ribosomal RNA
Source: RNAcentral